This 284-nucleotide long non-coding RNA is filed under the name Manihot esculenta (cassava). RNAcentral's name for it is "long non-coding RNA (MESC_LNC005127)". Lineage: Eukaryota; Viridiplantae; Streptophyta; Magnoliopsida; Malpighiales; Euphorbiaceae. The record is from RNAcentral.
CUCCACUUCCUUGCUCACUGGUCUGAGCCACAUUUCUUGGAGCUAACCGCUGGGACCGUACCAUCCUGGGUGCAGUAGGACACUCACGUGUGAAGUGCCCUUCUUGUCCGCACCUAAAACAUGCCGUAGUCCCUGCCAGACAGACUCCUUGGUGUGGCUUGCCACACCUCGAACAUCUUGUAGUGCCUCGACCAGAACUCGAACCAUCUUCAGCAUCUAGCCUAAACCUCUUCCACAACCUACCCUUCCUAGUUCUGCCCCAUUGCUUCGGGGUUCUUCUCCCC